UGCUUUGCCUCAGCUCCAGGGACUGCCUCAGACACAGACAGAGCCUGCAAAAGAGGCAGGAGAGUAAGCAGCGGUUUGGAACAGACAGGAACAGAACAAACUGUGGGCACCAUGGGACUUGGCAUCCAGAGGUGGGGACACUGUGGAGACAAGGAGCACUGUGGAUCUGCCCAGCCACCCAGCUGUGUGAGAUGAGCCCUUGUGGAAGCUCCAGGCCAUGCAAAGGGGACAAAGAAUCCUUUCCCCUUGGGACGUUUCCAGAGCUUCUUGGAUAAUCCCAUGGUUUGGGUGUCUGAAAUCCCUAUGGGAAGCCCAGCACUUCCAGAGUGACUGCUGGGAUUCUCAGAGCUUCCCAGAACCAGCUUUGAUUUGUGCGGCUAAGCUAUGGGUGACCAGCUGCAGAACACCCCUGGUUCCGGGCCAGCUCUCUGGGCAUGGCCAGCAAUGGUCCAUGGGGACCUCUCCAGGAACACUCAGUCCAAACGUGCUGGAGUCUGUUACUGUGCAUCUCUGGGCAUGAGCCUGUGUGUGGGUGUAAACGGACAAAUGAGCGUCUCCCCACGGCGAACCUCACUGUGUUGUCAUGUUGUGUCUUCACUUUUGUCCACUAGCAUGUGUGUGUGGGAGGGGACUCACGUCUAGAUAUGGGUAUAUAAUAAUAUGAGCAUACGACAUGUCAAAGCUCAUGUGAAAGAGGGUAGGUUGGGGUAUGUAGCUGUGUAGCCAUGUGUGUGCAUAUGGAUACACCCUCCUAGUGGUUCUCCACCCCGUUGUGGCUUACAGCUGCCUUAGAAAUUUCCCCUUUUGCUGCCUCAGGAUCCCUGGCAUGUUCCAAUGUAACCUGGGCCCUGCCUUGCAGAGACCGGCAGUUUGGUGCUCUGUUGGCCUGCCUUUGUUCCUGCAGGGUGCAGCUCCUGUCUGCUUUCCCUCGCCUCCCAUUGGUUUCUGUUCACCUCUCUUGCACCACCCCAAGCCUUGCUGACGUGCCCCUGGCCACAUUUGUAGGGAGCUAGCAACUAUUCGGUUUGGAGGCAGUUUUUGAGCCAAUGAAAGGUCAGUGCCCAGAAGUCCCUGGAGCUAUGGCAGGCUUGGAUCCACGAGUUUCUGCAACCCACAUCACCAUCUCCUUCUGACCCAAGCCUCUCCCUCCAGCCUAGGCAGGCACAGCUGGUGGUUGAGGGCCCUCCCUGUCUAGUCAUUCUGCCUUAGAUUGGUUCCCAGUUGAAAGCAGCAACACUCUCUGGCAUGCUGAGAGCCUCUCCUCUAGGUUUCUGGGGAUUUCACUCAUAGGUUCCACAUUACCCUGCAAAGCUGGGAGAACUAGGGACUACGGUGGCCAUUAAAACUUGUGAAUGUUUGGGGUUUAAUGGAGAAUAUUCUAAGCUGCUGGUGGGCUCUUAGGAGAGGAAUGGCACAUUCAAAGAGGCAGAUCUGGGAGAUGUUUCUGCAGCCUGGCAGGGAGAAGCAGCUCUUGGCACCAGCUCUAAGAGGCCUGGUGCAAUGCCACUCCCUCUGCAGCAGCACUCCUCCUGAGGCCUCGGGCUCCCCAUCCUCAGCAACCCCUGCUCAGGUCUCCCCAGUGUGUGACUGGCCCUUAAUGCUGCUCUUUGGCCAGAAGGGCUGAGGCAGAGUGCCUCCAGGUGGGGACUUUCUUAUGAUGAGGAAAAUGAUCAGAAAGUUCUAUGACCUUGGACAAAUUACUUAAGCUUUCCGUGCCUCGGUUUUUCAAACUGCAAAAUGGGAAUAGUAACCGUAUGUACCUCACAGGGUUGUGGUGAGAACUGAGUUACUCUGUGUAAAGCACUUGGAACAAUAUCUGGCUUGUAAGCACUCAAUAACUGUUUGCUACGAUUAGACUAUCCCACUGGUCAAGCUAGCCUUUUACCUGGGUCUGCUGGAUGGGGGAAGAAGGGAGGGACAAUGCCCUUCCAUCCCAGGAAAGGAUUCCCACUGACCUAGCAUUACAGAGUACAUGCAGGCUGCCUGGUGGACGCAGCCCUGAGCUGCCUUCCUGUCAAGGCAGGUGAGCACAUCCUGCCUCUCCCUGCUUUAAUAUCUCUGAAGUCUUUUCUUAAAGGUCAGCAGAGCAGAGAGACCCCUCUAGAAUUGGUCUCUUGUGAUAAGGCCAGAAGACCUAGACUCUAAAAAUAAACCUUAAUAAGAUUUUAAGUAAACACUUUCUCUACAACAAUUCAGAUCACGAUUCCUUUCCUCUCCUAGAGCAAUGUGACCUAUAGCGAAGCCCAUUCCCGUCGAGUUGAAAAUGUCAAAGGCUUCCAGAGUGCGACGUGAACUCAGAUAAGACUCGUUCUGCCUCUGGCCUGCCUUGCAGCCUUCGUGUAUGAGCCCCGGUCUCACCCCAGGGUGCACCGGGCGCUCCUGUCCACCCCACCCCCGCAGCCCACUGGGCCGGGUGAACCCCUGAGCCCCGCUGCAGUGUGUCCGCACUAGAGCCAAGCAGGAGAGGGAAAGGCGUCUGCAGUCCGGGUUUGCCCCAACGUGCUGCUCUCAGAGAGGAGGGAACCAGGGCCUGCUUAGAGAUUCAAUAACUUGCCCAAGGAAAUGCUGCUAGUAAGUACCUAAAUUGAUAUUUAAACCCAUUCUUUCAAUCAGUUAUUCAGUAAGCAUAUUUUCUAAAUUUUUCUUCUCAAAAUUUUUUUUAGAGACGGCUUUUUCCUUUGCUUCCCAGCCUGGAAUGCAGUGGCACAAUGAUAGCUCAUGGUAUCCUUGACUCCCUGCGCUCAAACGAUCCUCCUGACUCAGCUU
This 2766-nucleotide long non-coding RNA is filed under the name Homo sapiens (human). Its description in RNAcentral is "HSALNT0294844". Lineage: Eukaryota; Metazoa; Chordata; Mammalia; Primates; Hominidae. The record is from RNAcentral.